Molecule: long non-coding RNA, 300 nt
Filed under: Dromaius novaehollandiae (emu)
Lineage: Eukaryota; Metazoa; Chordata; Aves; Casuariiformes; Dromaiidae
Description: lncRNA (ENSDNVG00000010550.1)
Source: RNAcentral
ACUAGUGAAAUACACAUCUACUGAAAUCUCUCUUUUCUACUCACAGGUGAUGUAUAUGAGUUUUUGGAUCUUUUCCUAAUUAAUUGUACUCCUGCACCCCAAACCUACACAGAUCAGUUCAUGGGGAAAAGCCAAGGCAUCAGAUUCGAUGAUGAUAAAGUUUCUUGAUGCCCACCAAAUCUUCGGACCUAUAAGAUGGAUCUGCCUGCAUAGCAGACCUUUCAGAAUAGCCAAGCACAGAAUGACUCCAAUGGUGACUGGGGUGUGUUGCUGUGAUGGUCACUUACUUGGAAAUGGCAG